CAGUGAUAAACUGGAGGAAGGUGGGGAUGACGUCAAGUCAUCAUGGCCCUUACGACCAGGGCUACACACGUGCUACAAUGGCAUAUACAAAGAGAAGCGACCUCGCGAGAGCAAGCGGACCUCAUAAAGUAUGUCGUAGUCCGGAUUGGAGUCUGCAACUCGACUCCAUGAAGUCGGAAUCGCUAGUAAUCGUAGAUCAGAAUGCUACGGUGAAUACGUUCCCGGGCCUUGUACACACCGCCCGUCACACCAUGGGAGUGGGUUGCAAAAGAAGUAGGUAGCUUAACCUUCGGGAGGGCGCUUACCACUUUGUGAUUCAUGACUGGGGUGAAGUCGUAACAAGGUAACCGUAGGGGAACCUGCGGUUGGAUCACCUCCUU
Molecule: ribosomal RNA, 380 nt
Filed under: Klebsiella pneumoniae
Lineage: Bacteria; Pseudomonadati; Pseudomonadota; Gammaproteobacteria; Enterobacterales; Enterobacteriaceae
Also listed under: 1 other name
Description: bacterial SSU rRNA
Rfam family: Bacterial small subunit ribosomal RNA
Source: RNAcentral